UUGGGAUUCCUAAUCCUAGUACUACUAGUUAUUAUACUAUAAACGCCUAUGUCAUCUAGGUAUUUUAGUAGAAUUUAUUAUGAUUAUUAUUGAUGAUUGAAAAUUAAUAAGAAUUUUGAGAAUUUUAUUAAUUUCCCCUUUGAUUGUUCUAUUGGUUAUACAUCAGAAUGCCUCCUCCUCAAGGAGACUGGAUCUGAGUUAUCGUAGGCUAGACGAAGAAAUAAUUCGACUUAAAUUUUAGAAGUGGAAAUUCUGCCUUCUUUUUUUCUUAGGAGUAUAAAUUUUGAAGUGAUAUGAUGAAUUAAUAAUAAGCUUAUUAUUUUGCUGUGUCUCAAGUCUCAACAUAAUAGGUUCCAUUUCCAUCAUAUCCAGUGUUGACUUGAUUUAUCUUCCAUAUCUAACAUUUAAGUUUGUUGAAGUUAAAUCCAAGGUCUGAAUUUGCAAUUUAUUUCAAAAAAGAAUUUUAGAGCUUAGUUAUCAAAUUAGAAUUUUAGAGCUUAGUUAUCAAAUUAGUUAUCUGUCACAUGCUUGUAGUAGUUUCAGAUCUUAUUAAUUGUGAAUCAAGAGGAGUAGUAUUUCUUGUUCAUGUUAUCUUCCUUAAAUGGUCUAGUUUCCUGCUUAAGGUGUUCUUUACCCUAUCAGGUUUCAGUUUCUUGUUUCCUUACGUCUGCCCCAGAAAGAAUGAAAUCAAUUUUGUAUGCUGCUGUGCGCACUGCAGAUUGCUAGAUGACUAACAGUUUAUGAUAUUGUCAACUGUGGUUGAUUUGUGGUGGUGUAAAAAGUAUAGUUUAUUAAUGGCGGUCAUUCCACUUGUUAGGACGUGUGAAAGUUAACUAGUUCUCCUCUCAGGAUUUUUUUACAACAAUUUAGAAGCUAAACGUUUGAUAUUUAUUAUCAUGUUCUUUCAGUCACAUGAACAGAGUGAUAGGGUGCAUUAUUGUUCGCUUCUCAGGUCAUGGACUAUUCUGAAAGGAAAAAAUUAUCAUCAUUAGUUACUGGGCACUUUGCUUUUGAAUCAUGCCAGAAGGGUGACAGGAAUUAAUGCUAUUUUGGAGAGAGAGAAAGAGAGGGUGCGAGCAGAAACUAGUUAGCUGGUUCUCAAGCUCUUGCCAUGGGCAGCAUUUUGUUGUUUUCUUUUCUGUAAUACCCAUUCUACUUUAUUUAUGGAAAAGCCCGUGGCCUUGUUUGGUUGGGUUUGUAUUACUAAACCAACUUUCCGAUCAAGGGAAGCAGCUUAUCUAAGUAGAACUUGAUAAGUUGCACUCCCCAGUUAAAUGUAAUGAACUUACUAAUUUUUGCUUUAAUUUGUUACACUUUAAAUUAUAUUAUGGGUGUUGUUGUCUUUGUAACUUAUGAGCAACUUUUACUUUUUUGAAAGUUAAUUUGUAUAAUAAACACAUUUAUAUCUUAUUUAAUAGUAAGUAAGUUUCCUGGAAGUGUACUUGACCAAAAAUAUGCUUCUUAGGAAGUAUAGCAUUUUGAACAAAAUGAGACCUUGGGAGAAAACAACUUAGGUUAACUC
This 1522-nucleotide unclassified non-coding RNA is filed under the name Hevea brasiliensis (rubber tree). Lineage: Eukaryota; Viridiplantae; Streptophyta; Magnoliopsida; Malpighiales; Euphorbiaceae. The record is from RNAcentral.